This 820-nucleotide long non-coding RNA is filed under the name Gossypium raimondii (Peruvian cotton). RNAcentral's name for it is "long non-coding RNA (GRAI_LNC002927)". The record is from RNAcentral. Lineage: Eukaryota; Viridiplantae; Streptophyta; Magnoliopsida; Malvales; Malvaceae.
GCAUUCAUAGAAAAGAACAUGCAACGUAAGAAAUCAACAAAACAAUAAUCCAUAGCUAAUACAAGAAGAAUGUGAAAAUCCAAAACAAAAAUAAAAACCCAAGAGAAGAAACCCACGAAAAACAGAUAAUCUUUGACGCUGUUAGAUCCUUCAAACGGAUCUCAAGAUCUUCAAGAACAAUAACAAAAACAAAUUAAAAAAUUGUUUCCCAACAUAGGAAUAAGAUGGAGAGAGUUAAAAGUGGAGGAAAAUCGUCAAGAAACCUAGAUAGGAAAAUGAAAGGAACAACAGAGGAGAGAAAGAGUUUACCUGAAGGAAACUGCGAUGAAGAGGAGGAGUACUAGUGGCACUGGGACCGAGAGGGGAUGUCAGGUUGAGUGAGAGGAUUUCUGACGUGAGAAACUGGGGAGGGUGAAAUUGAAACCUCAGGCACGGUGGUGGGUGGAGGGAGGGGGAAUAGCGGUGGGGGAGGAGAGGGGAGGGUUAUUUUUAUUUAAGAUUAAUAUUAAUAUUAAUAUAAAGUUUAAAUUUUAUUUUUAUAUUUUUUGAAAAUAUUCAUGCAUUUUAUAUAUUUUUUUAUUUUUAAAAUUAGGAUAAAUUGAGACCAUUUAUAAAAUUUGAGGGUUAAUUUUUUAAAAUUAAGAUUAAAUCAAUAUAAUAUGUAAAAGUUGAUAGUUAAAUUUAUUAUUAUAUCAAUUUUUAACUACCACAUCACUCUUCUAUUAAUGUAAUUAAUAGAAAUAGAAAAAAAACUCAAUUAAUUAAAUGAAAAUUUUAAAAAAAUUAGUAGUUGAAUUACUAAAACUAUAUCUCUAAUCGG